RNAcentral lists this unclassified non-coding RNA (1703 nucleotides) under Exaiptasia diaphana. RNAcentral describes it as "neuropeptide FF receptor 1, transcript variant X5". Lineage: Eukaryota; Metazoa; Cnidaria; Anthozoa; Actiniaria; Aiptasiidae. The record is from RNAcentral.
CAUGACCUCCAUCCAGCAAUCAUGAACCAAAAACCAUGUUGAUUAAUCGUUCUAAUUGUUCGACAUCUGACGUUGCUAAGAUAUAAUUAGUCCUGUUGUGCAAAUUGAUUGUUUUUAAAGCCUAAACGCAGUGNCUGUUCUGAUUACAUUUAUUUGUUAGAGACUGACUGUUGAUAUAAGGCUAUAUUUUGGUGAAUCCACUGUUCAGAAGUUCUUAAAACCAUUAAAUUUAGCUAACACUAGCCCAGAGUCAAGAAGAUNUACUAUAGGUUAGUGAUGCCGCCUACUAGUUCUAUUUUAUUUUCGUUUAUAAUAUUAAUUUUUCAGUGUACNGACUGCAAAAACGCCAAGGCACCAGUGUGGGAUUUUGCGGUUUAAUAACUGAACUGUACAUUAACUGCAAAUUAGCAAAAUCGCAUGAGAAAACCUCAGAAUUUCCAAUAUUGAUCUUGUCUAAGAAUACAAUGUUUCUAUAUUAAGAGAAAUUGUUAGAAUAUUCAAUUUUCACAUUUUGGAACAGUUUCAUUGAAAAAAUGUUAUAGCGAAUCUCUUGAAAAAUUUGACUCAAUUGGUUUUUUUAAUCAUUUUGUUUGCGUGUAAAGUCUAGAGAAUAUCGAUAUGCAUCAUAAUCACUCGAAAACAAAACAAAAAACACACAAAUCAUCCUAUUCUACACAAAUACACUGCUUGUCAACUGAAAAGACCAGAAAAAAAGACAACAAAAUAACAAAAUCAAGGAAAUGAUAAGAAUUGAUGUACUUCAAGUACAUUACCACUAGUUAUCGAAGAAAUCAGCAAGCCUAAUAUAAGAAGAUAGACACUGAGUGGUAAAUCAUACAUGCAUAACAUAGCAGUACAGCAAUAGAAUACAACGAAAAUUAUUCAGCCCGGAUCCUGUGUCAAACGCGAGUUUACUUGAAAGUAAUAUUUCGAAAAAAAUNCUAUGUCCAAGCAACAAGAAACACUACAAUAUCAAGAAAUCCAGUGUCGAAUUUAAAUAGAGACAAAAGAAAACCACCCUUUUCAUCAGCUAGUACCAUUAGCUGUUUUAAUAGUGUUUUCAACAGCACUCAAGCAGCCACAAAUGAUUCCGUGUCGAAAUCCAAACUUCUUGUGGUGUCGAUUAUUCGUACAAUGGUGAUCCAUAAAUACAUUACUGUCACCACAAGUCAAACAUAUAAACUCGAGUUCCUAAAAACACUGAUUAUAUAUCCGCAAAGCCACAGGGAANCCNANUACUAGGCUAUUUAUAGCAGGNUUUGUUUUCGCGCGUUGCGNCCCCGUGGAUGUCUUAUCCUGAUAGGAGUCAACAUUAUCGAAAAAACCUACUGACUUUUGCAGCCUGAAAACUCUUUCUUAUCAUGCAACGGAUCUUANGUGUUUUGAAGAAUUUCCGCAAAUUGUCGGUUUGCUGACGUCUUNAUUAAAUAGAAAAUGGCACAAAGCACCGCGGGUUGAAGAGCAAAUUAGCAAAAUUCGACGGUGCUUUUUAGUAGAUUUAAAACUUACCGUUCUAACGUGGGUUACAUGAUAUGAGCCGAUAGUUACGGAAUAUUCGUAAAUCAAUACGAUACCGACAAAACAACUACUUNCUUCAUAUAAAUACCCCAUGCAUUUUCGAUUACAAUUAUGGGAUGUUUUGUAAUAUCACCUGGUAUGUGUGCAUGACUAGGGCANUCUUCAGUAGUAAAAUAUACACAAGA